CUAAUUGUUGCUCAUUAUUAGGGUUAUUUGGAGAACAACCAUGAUGUAUGGUAUUGACCUCAAUUGCAUUAUUUUUUAAAACUUCCUGAACCCAUUGUUUAGGUGAAAGAUUGUUGAUAUGCUGCUCUUUCCCCAUCCCUUGUUGUAUACCAACUGGAUUCUUUUGUUGAUUGUUGGCUGACUGUCUUUUGGACGAGCUUGGAGAUGUAUUCUUUUGUGCUAUUUGUGAAGCUGAUGCAUGCACUUCCUGUUCCUUUAUCCCAUCUUCCAUAUCUGUGUGCUGAAUCUCCUUGUUGCUGUUAGAUUUUUGAACCGUGUAUUCCUCUAUGACUGCCAGUUGGUUUCUUACAUUUUCCUCAUCAUUUUCCUUUUGUAGCACUUUAAAUUUGUUGGUAGUUUGGAUUUGUUUAUUGAAAUUGGGUUUGUUACCAAUUAAUUCUUUGCUUUGUGAAACUGAGACUUCAGUUUGUUUUUCUUUGUUUAGAGUCCUUUUGUCACGGACCUCCUUCCAUUGAG
RNAcentral lists this long non-coding RNA (516 nucleotides) under Nicotiana benthamiana. Its description in RNAcentral is "long non-coding RNA (NBEN_LNC036383)". Lineage: Eukaryota; Viridiplantae; Streptophyta; Magnoliopsida; Solanales; Solanaceae. The record is from RNAcentral.